Molecule: long non-coding RNA, 3832 nt
Filed under: Mytilus galloprovincialis (Mediterranean mussel)
Lineage: Eukaryota; Metazoa; Mollusca; Bivalvia; Mytilida; Mytilidae
Source: RNAcentral
AUUGUCCCUUAAAAAACAAAGUAAGUUAUUAUUAGAAGACAAUGGUUUAUUAUAUAUUCUUUACAAACUGAGGCGUAAAAUAUAUUGGUAGGUUUAAUACUGUUUAUAACAUGAAAACUAUGAAGAAGCUAUUAUCUACUUGUCCAGACUGAAAUUUGUCAUGUGUAAGACGGUAACAAUAUAUCUCGAGCAAUAUAUGUUGUUAUAUACAUGGUCGGUAAUUUAUUAACCGGAUUUUUGUGACAAAAAUGUCGGUUAUUGAUUUGGGGAUGUACGGCGGGCGGCCGGGCGGUCGGGCGGGCGGGCGGGCGGGCGGCAAUCAAAUGUUGUCCGUGCAUUAACUCAUGAACCGUUCAACCAAAACUUUUAAAAUUUUAAUAUGUUAUUCCUGACAACUAUACGAAGGUCAAGUUCAAUAAUGGCGAUUUUGACUUUUACCGUUCAGGAGUUAUGGUUCUUGAAAAAUUGAAAAAUUGAGUUGUCCGUGCAUUUACGCAUGAACUGUUCUACCAAAGCUUCCCAAAUUUUAAUAUGUUGUUACUAAUGAAAGAAUGGAGGUCAAGUUCAAUAAUGACGAAUUUGACUUUUACCGUUCAGGAGUUAUGGUUCUUGAAAGAUUGAAAAAUGGAGUUUCCAGUCGUGUCCGUGCAUUUUCUCAUGAACCAUUCAACCAAAGCUUUUGAAAUUUUAAUAUGUUGUUACUGAAGACAAAAUAGAGGUCAAGUUCAAUAAUGACGAUUUUGACUUUUACCGUUCAGGAGUUAUGGUUCUUGAAAGAUCGUAAAAUGGCGUUUCCAUUCAGGUUGUUGCAUUUACUCAUGAACCAUUCAAUCUAAGCUUUUCAAAUUUUAAUAUGUUGAUACUGAUGACAAAAUGGAGGUCAAAUUUGAUAUUGACGAUUUUCACUUUCACCAUUCAUCAGUAAUGGUUCUUGUGAUAUUGCCAGGACACAAAUAAAUGUUAAUAAAUCCGGUUUGCUGUCGUUGUGACAGCCUCUUGUUUUAUAUAUAAUCUAUGACUGAGACAACUAUCCUCCUAUCUUCAAAAUUUAGAUGCAUCCUGUAAGAAAUUAAAGGCAACCACUUGGACUUCAAAUACGAGAAAAAAACAUACAUUAAUAUGAAUAGCAAACUGUAAAAGGCCAAGGGUUACGAUCCACUAAGCAUGCUACGAUGAGGGGAGUGGAUCGUAACCAUCAGCUAGAGAAGAUGAACAUUGACAAAUGUUACACAUUUCAAUCAUUGUGUCAAUUGAGGGGGGAUAGAAAUCCUGGGCUUUAAAACACGAAAUUCUACGGUCCCAAAUUUAAGUAAAGUAAUUCCCAACGUCCCUAAAUUAAAAAAAAAGAAUUCCCAGAUCCCGAAAGGGUCAAUUCAGAAAUCCUGAUCUUAAAAACACUCGAUCCGGGAGUCCCGAUAAGGUCCUACCCCCCUCUGAAUUGUAACUUGAAUGAAUCAGCGCCCUCUACAGCUCAGUGUCCUCAGUAAUCGAUAGUGAGACAAAAUAUAACAACUGGAUUAUUCGGGUUAUGUCAGUUGGGGAAAUUAAUGUCCUGAUUUUAUUCAUGUUAGUUCAAACAAUCAAUGAAUGAAAAACAUAUAUGAUUAUUUUACUAUGUUACCACUGUCUGUCUGCUUGUCCACCCCAUUAUGGGAAUAUAAUGUUGUCUUACAUGUCUUAGCAGGGGCGGAUCCAACCAAUUAAAAAAAGGGGGGUUCCAACUAUGUUUCCCCAUUCAAAUGCAUUGAUCGGUCAAAAAAAAGGGAGGGUUCCAAACCCCCCCCCCCUGAAAGUGCCAAUGCUUAGAUAUUCCACACAAAUCCUACAGUUUGAUUGCAACCUAGGUCAUUCAUGGUCCAGUAACCAUGGUAACUGAAUUUAUUGUGGUAUUUUCUAUAAAGUUAUAUACCUAUCAAAGCAUAUCAGAUUGACAACUAUCUUUAGGUCCUAUCCCUACUUCCAGGGGUUCAAAUUAACAUUUGAUACUGGAAGGUCCAGGACCUUUGACACUCCAAACUGAAAGGUCCACAACCCAAAUUCAAGGUCCUACUUUUACUUAAAACAUUUUAUAACUCCGUAAGAUACAAAAUUAAUGUGCUUUUGGUGUUAGGUUAGCUUGCUUAAUUGUCAGUGUCACUGUUGUAUAACAUGUUUAAUAAAAAAUGUAAUUGUCUUGUAUAUGAAUUCACAUAAUCUUUUUUUUAGUAUUGGGGAGGGUGUCACUGUGGGUGGGUUUGUGGUCUUAACAAUUGGUAAUUAAUUACUAAUCAUACCAUUAUCUCGCUUCAAUGUUUGGGUUUUACUAUAAUAUAAAGGGCUAUGUGUCUCAGUGGCGGAUCCAGGGGGGGGGGGUUCCGGGGGUGCGCACCCCCCUUUAUUUUUGCCGAUCAAUGCAUUUGUAUCGGGACAUAUGUUUUGCACCCCCCUUUGCCCUGGGUUAGCACCCCCCUUUCGAAAAUUCCUGCAUCCGCCCCUGUGUCUCUUUUUUAAUAUUGUUAGAUUCAUACCUGAGUAUACAAUUAAAGUUUCGCUGUCAUGAAUAAUAAAGAUGAAAAUACAUUUUGAAAUCGUUUAUUUGAAAUUUUUAUAUAAAGAUAGUCGGCAUAGUAAAAUUUUUAUUUUCUUUCAAAUCGAAGGUCCGUCGGUCGUAGCUAGUAACCAAAAUGAAAGUCCGCCUGCAAAAGUGGAAGGUCGCGGACCUCGCAGGGGUUCAAAUUAGCGGUGGUCCGAGGUCCGCGACCUUCCACUUUUGGGUUGUGGACCUUUCAGUUUGGAGUGUCAAAGGUCCUGGACCUUCCAGUAUCAAAUGUUAAUUUGAACCCCUGCCUCGGACCACCGCUAAUUUGAACCCCUGCUACUUCAUGGUUAAUUUUAGAAACUUCACAUUUGUUAUCAAUGUUUCUGUUAACAGUUUAUCAGAUCAUUGCAGAUUGUCUUUCCUUAUUUAUUUAAUAUACAGGUGAGACAUAUAUUCACAAAAUGUAUGAUAUAUCUCUUGGGCAACAGUUUAUUUACUUAAGAUAAGAAUAUGUAGCAUGCAGGCCAACAUGGCCAAUGAGACAAUUCUCAAUCCAAGUUACAAUGCUUAAAAACAUGAAAAAGUUAAGAACACCAUGAACUCAGAACUUGUAAAUUAUGUUGACAUUUACCAAUAUUGUUUUCCUUAUGAACAAAUAAGUUGUUAGGUACACAUCAAUAAGGCAGUACAGCAUACAGUCAAACCUGUUUUCAGAGACCAUUUAAUGUAGAGCAAAACAGUGGUCUCUUACAGCAUUUUUGUAUAGGUGGUCUUUUGAUACAGAUUUGAUUUAUUUCAUGAAUAAACAAACAAUUAAAAAUGUCUUGCACAUAAUUUUGUUUACCGAUUUUGAGAAACACUGUAAACAUGGUGAAUAACAAACCUUUUUCAAGGCUACAUGUGAAAUAAAAAUGGCAAAACAUCUUGCAGGAAAAUUACCCUUUUAAUACCACACUCACAGCCCUGCUCGUACAUGUUGUAUUAUUUAAUAUAUAGUAUGGAACUAGAAUUGCCCAAACUUACAGAUUCAUAAAUGCAGAGAAUGUCUAAAUUGCAGAAAAGUAUCAAAAGGUUAUAUAUAUGUCUUUAUUUUUUGGUGUUCCUUACAGAGUCGUUCAAGAAAUCACAUACUCGGGUCACUGGAGAUAAACAUUAUCAAUAAGAUGUCAGAGGGAGGAGAGGAUUUAGUCACACUCAACGGUACUUUACAGAGACACAUAAACACACAGGCUGAUAAAACACGUCAUAAAUGUGAUGUCUGUGCUAAAGAAUUUAGUCAAAGUAGUGACUUAAAGGCACACAUGAGUAAACAUA